This 292-nucleotide long non-coding RNA is filed under the name Corvus moneduloides (New Caledonian crow). RNAcentral's name for it is "lncRNA (ENSCMUG00000017044.1)". The record is from RNAcentral. Lineage: Eukaryota; Metazoa; Chordata; Aves; Passeriformes; Corvidae.
GCAGGCUCGGGUUUCUGAGGGGCUGGAGCGGGGGCAGGGCACGGGGUGCCCCCCCCGGUGCCAGCAGUGCCCAGGGGGGUCUCAAGGCCUCUGUCCCCCUGUCGCUGUGUCCCCCCCUCCCCAUGCCCCCCCCAGCUUUGCCAGCGGCCCCCCCACGCUGUCCAGCAGCCCCCCGGACUCCUACCAGCAGCUCAACGUGGAUAACGGGAACGUGACAGACAUCAACGACAACAGGAGUGACCUGUCCUGCGCCUGCGAGGCCGAGGAGGCGGCCAAGCUCUUCCCCCUGCGC